This 508-nucleotide ribosomal RNA is filed under the name uncultured bacterium. Its description in RNAcentral is "partial 16S ribosomal RNA". It matches the Rfam family "Bacterial small subunit ribosomal RNA", at positions 28 to 523 of the family's 1533-position model. The record is from RNAcentral.
GAUGAACGCUAGCUACAGGCUUAACACAUGCAAGUCGGGGGGAAACGAUAUUGGAAGCUUGCUUCCGAUAGGCGUCGACCGGCGCACGGGUGAGUAACGCGUAUCCAACCUGACCACCACUUGGGAAUAACCUUGCGAAAGUAAGACUAAUGCCCAAUGAUAUCUCUAGAAGACAUCUGAAGGAGAUUAAAGAUUUAUCGGUGAUGGAUGGGGAUGCGUCUGAUUAGCUUGUUGGCGGGGGAACGGCCCACCAAGGCGACGAUCAGUAGGGGUUCUGAGAGGAAGGUCCCCCACAUUGGAACUGAGACACGGUCCAAACUCCUACGGGAGGCAGCAGUGAGGAAUAUUGGUCAAUGGGCGAGAGCCUGAACCAGCCAAGUAGCGUGCAGGAUGACGGCCCUAUGGGUUGUAAGCUGCUUUUAUAAGGGAAUAAAGUUAGUCUCGUGAGACUUUUUGCAUGUACCUUAUGAAUAAGGACCGGCUAAUUCCGUGCCAGCAGCCGCAGUAA